GUUUGUAACACCCGAAGUCGGUGAGGUAACCUUUUAGGAGCCAGCCGCCUAAGGUGGGAUAGAUGAUUGGGGUGAAGUCGUAACAAGGUAGCCGUAUCGGAAGGUGCGGCUGGAUCACCUCCUUUU
RNAcentral lists this ribosomal RNA (126 nucleotides) under Streptococcus oralis subsp. dentisani. Its description in RNAcentral is "partial 16S ribosomal RNA". It matches the Rfam family "Bacterial small subunit ribosomal RNA", at positions 1410 to 1533 of the family's 1533-position model. Lineage: Bacteria; Bacillati; Bacillota; Bacilli; Lactobacillales; Streptococcaceae. The record is from RNAcentral.